Molecule: transfer RNA, 82 nt
Filed under: uncultured Rubrobacteraceae bacterium
Lineage: Bacteria; Bacillati; Actinomycetota; Rubrobacteria; Rubrobacterales; Rubrobacteraceae
Description: tRNA-Pseudo-GAT
Source: RNAcentral
GGACUUGGCGGUACGCGGCGAAAAAGGGGUGUCCUCCCUGAUAAGGAAGAGGUCCCUGGUUCGAGUCCAGGCAGGCCCACCC